Molecule: ribosomal RNA, 1372 nt
Filed under: uncultured bacterium
Lineage: Bacteria
Description: bacterial SSU rRNA
Rfam family: Bacterial small subunit ribosomal RNA
Source: RNAcentral
GAUGAACGCUGGCGGCGUGCCUAAUACAUGCAAGUCGAGCGAACGGACGAGAAGCUUGCUUCUCUGAUGUUAGCGGCGGACGGGUGAGUAACACGUGGAUAACCUACCUAUAAGACUGGGAUAACUUCGGGAAACCGGAGCUAAUACCGGAUAAUAUUUUGAACCGCAUGGUUCAAAAGUGAAAGACGGUCUUGCUGUCACUUAUAGAUGGAUCCGCGCUGCAUUAGCUAGUUGGUAAGGUAACGGCUUACCAAGGCAACGAUGCAUAGCCGACCUGAGAGGGUGAUCGGCCACACUGGAACUGAGACACGGUCCAGACUCCUACGGGAGGCAGCAGUAGGGAAUCUUCCGCAAUGGGCGAAAGCCUGACGGAGCAACGCCGCGUGAGUGAUGAAGGUCUUCGGAUCGUAAAACUCUGUUAUUAGGGAAGAACAUAUGUGUAAGUAACUGUGCACAUCUUGACGGUACCUAAUCAGAAAGCCACGGCUAACUACGUGCCAGCAGCCGCGGUAAUACGUAGGUGGCAAGCGUUAUCCGGAAUUAUUGGGCGUAAAGCGCGCGUAGGCGGUUUUUUAAGUCUGAUGUGAAAGCCCACGGCUCAACCGUGGAGGGUCAUUGGAAACUGGAAAACUUGAGUGCAGAAGAGGAAAGUGGAAUUCCAUGUGUAGCGGUGAAAUGCGCAGAGAUAUGGAGGAACACCAGUGGCGAAGGCGACUUUCUGGUCUGUAACUGACGCUGAUGUGCGAAAGCGUGGGGAUCAAACAGGAUUAGAUACCCUGGUAGUCCACGCCGUAAACGAUGAGUGCUAAGUGUUAGGGGGUUUCCGCCCCUUAGUGCUGCAGCUAACGCAUUAAGCACUCCGCCUGGGGAGUACGACCGCAAGGUUGAAACUCAAAGGAAUUGACGGGGACCCGCACAAGCGGUGGAGCAUGUGGUUUAAUUCGAAGCAACGCGAAGAACCUUACCAAAUCUUGACAUCCUUUGACAACUCUAGAGAUAGAGCCUUCCCCUUCGGGGGACAAAGUGACAGGUGGUGCAUGGUUGUCGUCAGCUCGUGUCGUGAGAUGUUGGGUUAAGUCCCGCAACGAGCGCAACCCUUAAGCUUAGUUGCCAUCAUUAAGUUGGGCACUCUAAGUUGACUGCCGGUGACAAACCGGAGGAAGGUGGGGAUGACGUCAAAUCAUCAUGCCCCUUAUGAUUUGGGCUACACACGUGCUACAAUGGACAAUACAAAGGGCAGCGAAACCGCGAGGUCAAGCAAAUCCCAUAAAGUUGUUCUCAGUUCGGAUUAUAGUCUGCAACUCGACUACAUGAAGCUGGAAUCGCUAGUAAUCGUAGAUCAGCAUGCUACGGUGAAUACGUUCCCGGGUCU